UAAGGAAUAUUGGACAAUGGGCGGAAGCCUGAUCCAGCCAUGCCGCGUGCAGGAAGACGGCGCUCAGCGUUGUAAACUGCUUUUGGGUGGGAACAAUAACCUCUACGAGUUAGGGGCUUGAGGGUACCAUCAGAAUAAGCACCGGCUAACUCCGUGCCAGCAGCCGCGGUAAUACGGAGGGUGCAAGCGUUAUCCGGAAUCACUGGGUUUAAAGGGUGCGUAGGCUGUUCGGUAAGUCAGUUGUGAAAUU
This 250-nucleotide ribosomal RNA is filed under the name uncultured bacterium. RNAcentral describes it as "partial 16S ribosomal RNA". It matches the Rfam family "Bacterial small subunit ribosomal RNA", at positions 355 to 601 of the family's 1533-position model. The record is from RNAcentral.